This 496-nucleotide ribosomal RNA is filed under the name uncultured bacterium. Its description in RNAcentral is "partial 16S ribosomal RNA". It matches the Rfam family "Bacterial small subunit ribosomal RNA", at positions 30 to 523 of the family's 1533-position model. The record is from RNAcentral.
AUUGAACGCUGGCGGAAUGCUUUACACAUGCAAGUCGAACGGUAGAGGGGGCAACCCCUCGAGAGUGGCGAACGGGUGAGUAAUAUAUCGGAACGUGCCCAGUCGUGGGGGAUAACGUAGCGAAAGUUACGCUAAUACCGCAUACGAUCUACCGCUGAAAGCGGGGGAUCGCAAGACCUCGCGCGAUUGGAGCGGCCGAUAGCAGAUUAGGUAGUUGGUGGGGUAAAGGCUCACCAAGCCAACGAUCUGUAGCUGGUCUGAGAGGACGACCAGCCACACUGGAACUGAGACACGGUCCAGACUCCUACGGGAGACAGCAGUGGGGAAUUUUGGACAAUGGACGCAAGUCUGAUCCAGCCAUUCCGCGUGCAGGAUGAAGGCCCUCGGGUUGUAAACUGCUUUUGUACGGAACGAAAAGGUUUCCAUUAAUACUGGGAGCUCAUGACGGUACCGUAAGAAUAAGCACCGGCUAACUACGUGCCAGCCGCCGCUGUAA